GUGGGGAAUAUUGGACAAUGGGCGAAAGCCUGAUCCAGCCAUGCCGCGUGUGUGAAGAAGGUCUUCGGAUUGUAAAGCACUUUAAGUUGGGAGGAAGGGCAGUAAGUUAAUACCUUGCUGUUUUGACGUUACCGACAGAAUAAGCACCGGCUAACUUCGUGCCAGCAGCCGCGGUAAUACGAAGGGUGCAAGCGUUAAUCGGAAUUACUGGGCGUAAAGCGCGCGUAGGUGGUUUUGUAAGUGGGAGGUGAAAUCCCCGGGCUCAACCUGGGAACUGCCUCCAAAACUGCAGGACUAGAGUACGGUAGAGGGUAGUGGAAUUUCCUGUGUAGCGGUGAAAUGCGUAGAUAUAGGAAGGAACACCAGUGGCGAAGGCGACUACCUGGACUGAUACUGACACUGAGGUGCGAAAGCGUGGGGAGCAAACAGGAUUAGAUACCCCUGUAGUCC
RNAcentral lists this ribosomal RNA (450 nucleotides) under uncultured bacterium. RNAcentral's name for it is "bacterial SSU rRNA". It matches the Rfam family "Bacterial small subunit ribosomal RNA", at positions 354 to 796 of the family's 1533-position model. The record is from RNAcentral.